GCGAGCGUAGUUCAAUGGUAAAACAUCUCCUUGCCAAGGAGAAAGUACGGGUUCGAUUCCCGUCGCUCGCC
Molecule: transfer RNA, 71 nt
Filed under: Chloris truncata
Lineage: Eukaryota; Viridiplantae; Streptophyta; Magnoliopsida; Poales; Poaceae
Description: tRNA-Gly
Rfam family: tRNA
About the family: Transfer RNA (tRNA) molecules are approximately 80 nucleotides in length.
Source: RNAcentral